CCCGAGCGAGCUAACUGCAGUCGAGCGGGGAGGUUGCUUCGGUAACUAACCUAGCGGCGGACGGGUGAGUAAUGCUUAGGAAUCUGCCUAUUAGUGGGGGACAACGUUCCGAAAGGAACGCUAAUACCGCAUACGCCCUACGGGGGAAAGCAGGGGAUCUUCGGACCUUGCGCUAAUAGAUGAGCCUAAGUCGGAUUAGCUAGUUGGUGGGGUAAAGGCCUACCAAGGCGACGAUCUGUAGCGGGUCUGAGAGGAUGAUCCGCCACACUGGGACUGAGACACGGCCCAGACUCCUACGGGAGGCAGCAGUGGGGAAUAUUGGACAAUGGGCGCAAGCCUGAUCCAGCCAUGCCGCGUGUGUGAAGAAGGCCUUUUGGUUGUAAAGCACUUUAAGCGAGGAGGAGGCUCCUUUAGUUAAUACCUAAAGAGAGUGGACGUUACUCGCAGAAUAAGCACCGGCUAACUCUGUGCCAGCAGCCGCGGUAAUACAGAGGGUGCGAGCGUUAAUCGGAUUUACUGGGCGUAAAGCGUGCGUAGGCGGCUUUUUAAGUCGGAUGUGAAAUCCCUGAGCUUAACUUAGGAAUUGCAUUCGAUACUGGAAAGCUAGAGUAUGGGAGAGGAUGGUAGAAUUCCAGGUGUAGCGGUGAAAUGCGUAGAGAUCUGGAGGAAUACCGAUGGCGAAGGCAGCCAUCUGGCCUAAUACUGACGCUGAGGUACAAAAGCAUGUNGAGCAAACAGGAUUAGAUACCCUGGUAGUCCAUGCCGUAAACGAUGUCUACUAACCGUUGGGGCCUUUGAGCUUUUAGUGGCGCACCUUACGCGAUAAGUAAACCCCCUGGGGAGUACGGCCCCAAAACUAAAACUCAAAUGAAUUGACGGGCGCCCCGCCAAACGGGGGAACCAUGUGGUUAAUUUCAUGGAACGGAAA
This 928-nucleotide ribosomal RNA is filed under the name Acinetobacter johnsonii. RNAcentral's name for it is "bacterial SSU rRNA". It matches the Rfam family "Bacterial small subunit ribosomal RNA", at positions 42 to 965 of the family's 1533-position model. The record is from RNAcentral. Lineage: Bacteria; Pseudomonadati; Pseudomonadota; Gammaproteobacteria; Moraxellales; Moraxellaceae.